UUCCUUCGAGCAUCGAGAGCA
RNAcentral lists this microRNA (21 nucleotides) under Pristionchus pacificus. RNAcentral's name for it is "ppc-miR-8297-3p". Lineage: Eukaryota; Metazoa; Nematoda; Chromadorea; Rhabditida; Neodiplogasteridae. The record is from miRBase by way of RNAcentral.